This 433-nucleotide ribosomal RNA is filed under the name uncultured bacterium. RNAcentral's name for it is "partial 16S ribosomal RNA". It matches the Rfam family "Bacterial small subunit ribosomal RNA", at positions 29 to 507 of the family's 1533-position model. The record is from RNAcentral.
AACGAACGCUGGCGGCAUGCCUAACACAUGCAAGUCGAACGAGACCUUCGGGUCUAGUGGCGCACGGGUGCGUAACGCGUGGGAACCUGCCCUUAGGUUCGGAAUAACUCCCCGAAAGGGGUGCUAAUACCGGAUAAUGUCUUCGGACCAAAGAUUUAUCGCCUUUGGAUGGGCAUGCGUUGGAUUAGCUAGUUGGUAGGGUAAAAGCCUACCAAGGCGACGAUCCAUAGCUGGUCUGAGAGGAUGAUCAGCCACACUGGGACUGAGACACGGCCCAGACUCCUACGGGAGGCAGCAGUGGGGAAUAUUGGACAAUGGGCGAAAGCCUGAUCCAGCAAUGCCGCGUGAGUGAUGAAGGCCUUAGGGUUGUAAAGCUCUUUUACCCGGGAUGAUAAUGACAGUACCGGGCGAAUAAGCUCCGGCUAACUCCGUG